CUCAACGACCGUACCGCAAACCGACACUGCUGCGCGAGAUGAGUAUUCUAAGGCGCUUGAGAGAACUCAGGAGAAGGAACUCGGCAAAUUGACACCGUAACUUGGGAAGAAGGUGUGCCCUAUUAGUGUGAAGUGAACAACGGGGCAUGAAUGGGUUGCAAAAAAUCGGUGGCUGCGACUGUUUAUUAAAAACACAGCACUCUGCAAACACGAAAGUGGACGUAUAGGGUGUGACGCCUGCCCGGUGCUGGAAGAUUAAAUGAUGGGGUGCAAGCUCUUGAUUGAAGUCCCAGUAAACGGCGGCCGUAACAAUAACGGUCCUAAGGUAGCGAAAUUCCUUGUCGGGUAAGUUCCGACCUGCACGAAUGGCGUAACGAUGGCCACACUGUCUCCUCCUGAGACUCAGCGAAGUUGAAAUGUUUGUGAUGAUGCAAUCUCCCCGCGGAAAGACGGAAAGACCCCAUGAACCUUUACUGUAGCUUUGUAUUGGACUUUGAACAGAUCUGUGUAGGAUAGGUGGGAGGCUUUGAAGCAGGGUCGCUAGAUCUUGUGGAGCCAACGUUGAAAUACCACCCUGGUGUGUUUGAGGUUCUAACCUAGGUCCAUUAUCUGGAUCGGGGACAGUGCAUGGUAGGCAGUUUGACUGGGGCGGUCUCCUCCCAAAGCGUAACGGAGGAGUUCGAAGGUACGCUAGUUACGGUCGGACAUCGUGACGAUAGUGCAAUGGCAUAAGCGUGCUUAACUGCGAGACUGACAAGUCGAGCAGAUGCGAAAGCAGGACAUAGUGAUCCGGUGGUUCUGUAUGGAAGGGCCAUCGCUCAACGGAUAAAAGGUACUCUGGGGAUAACAGGCUGAUACCGCCCAAGAGUUCAUAUCGACGGCGGUGUUUGGCACCUCGAUGUCGGCUCAUCUCAUCCUGGGGCUGUAGCCGGUCCCAAGGGUAUGGCUGUUCGCCAUUUAAAGAGGUACGUGAGCUGGGUUUAAAACGUCGUGAGACAGUUUGGUCCCUAUCUUCCGUGGGCGCUGCAGAUUUGAGGAAGCCUGCUCCUAGUACGAGAGGACCGGAGUGGACACACCUCUGGUGUAUCGGUUGUCACGCCAGUGGCAUUGCCGAGUAGCUAAGUGUGGAAGAGAUAACCGCUGAAAGCAUCUAAGCGGGAAACUCGUUUCAAGAUGAGAUCUGCCGGGGCCUUGAGCCCCCUGAAGAGUCGUUCAAGACCAGGACGUUGAUAGGUCAGGUGUGGAAGCGCAGUAAUGCGUUAAGCUAACUGAUACUAAUUGCUCGUGCGGCUUGACCU
Molecule: ribosomal RNA, 1298 nt
Filed under: metagenome
Description: bacterial LSU rRNA
Rfam family: Bacterial large subunit ribosomal RNA
Source: RNAcentral